Molecule: ribosomal RNA, 378 nt
Filed under: Adenomera heyeri
Lineage: Eukaryota; Metazoa; Chordata; Amphibia; Anura; Leptodactylidae
Description: partial 12S ribosomal RNA
Source: RNAcentral
CUUGCAAUCAGUUUUUUCUUGAUUUACACAUGCAAGUAUCCGCACCCCUGUGAAAACGCCCUUAAAUUCCUCCUAGGAAUAAGGAGCUGGUAUCAGGCACAUCUUACUGCCCAAGACACCUAGCUACGCCACACCCACAAGGGACUUCAGCAGUGAUUAACUUUGAUUAUCAGUGACAGCUUGAUUCAGUUAAAGAAAACAGAGCCGGCUAAUCUGGUGCCAGCCGCCGCGGUUACACCACGUGGCUCAAAUUGACUUCUGUCGGCGUAAAGAGUGAUUUAAGAACCCCAAAAAUUGGCGUCAAAUUUUAACUAAGCUGUGACACGCUUGUCCCUUAGAAGCACUAAGACGAAAGUUACACCAACUAAACCAACUUGA